GUAGUCAUAUGCUUGUCUCAAAGAUUAAGCCAUGCAUGUCUAAGCACAAACCUUUACACGGUGAAGCUGCGAAUGGCUCAUUAGGCCACCCAUGAUUUAUUAGAUUGUACAAUCCUACUUGGAUAACUGUGGUAAUUCUAGAGCUAAUACAUGCGAGCAAGCUCCGACCCCUCGUGGAAAAGAGCGCGUUUAUUAGAUCAAAACCAAUCGGGCUUUCGGGUCCGUACGUUUGGUGACUCUGGAUAACUUUGCUGAUCGCAUGGUCUCGUACCGGCGACGUAUCUUUCAAGUGUGUGCCCUAUCAACUUUCGAUGGUACGCGAUAUGCCUACCAUGGUUGCAACGGGUAACGGGGAAU
Molecule: ribosomal RNA, 357 nt
Filed under: uncultured fungus
Lineage: Eukaryota; Fungi
Description: SSU rRNA
Rfam family: Eukaryotic small subunit ribosomal RNA
Source: RNAcentral